RNA transcript from Oxyura jamaicensis (ruddy duck), 3783 nucleotides. It is a transcript of the gene named TAR DNA binding protein, with no coding region annotated. The transcript has 7 exons. The record is from RefSeq and is a predicted model, not a curated record. NCBI's taxonomy places the organism in Eukaryota, Metazoa, Chordata, Aves, Anseriformes, Anatidae.
CCCCCCCGCCGGUGCUUCGGGUGGUUCGCCCCGCGGCCCGGCCCGGCCUCUGAGGGGGGCCACGGCCGCCAUUUUGUGCGGCGCCAGCGGAGGGCGGCGGGGCGGUGCGCGGCUGAGGGCUCCCGGAGACGCCGCUCCCUUCGUGCCCGUGACUCCCAGCGAAGAUGUCGGAGUAUAUCCGGGUCACGGAGGAUGAGAACGACGAGCCCAUCGAGAUCCCCUCGGAGGACGACGGCACCGUCCUGCUGUCCACGGUGACGGCCCAGUUCCCCGGGGCGUGCGGGCUGCGCUACAGGAACCCGGUGUCGCAGUGCAUGAGGGGCGUCCGGCUGGUCGAGGGGAUACUGCACGCCCCGGAGGCGGGCUGGGGAAACCUGGUCUAUGUUGUUAAUUAUCCCAAAGAUAAUAAGAGAAAAAUGGAUGAAACAGAUGCAUCGUCAGCCGUGAAAGUAAAACGAGCAGUACAGAAGACUUCAGAUUUGAUAGUCCUAGGUUUACCCUGGAAAACCACUGAGCAAGACUUAAAGGAAUACUUCAGUACAUUUGGAGAAGUUCUCAUGGUGCAGGUUAAGAAGGAUAUUAAAACUGGUCACUCAAAAGGUUUUGGUUUCGUUCGGUUUACGGAUUAUGAAACCCAGGUGAAAGUAAUGUCUCAGCGACACAUGAUAGAUGGAAGAUGGUGUGACUGUAAGCUUCCCAAUUCGAAGCAAAGUCCUGACGAACCUUUGCGCAGCAGAAAAGUGUUCGUUGGGCGCUGCACUGAGGACAUGACAGCAGAUGAACUCCGGCAGUUCUUUGCUCAGUACGGAGAAGUGGUAGAUGUCUUCAUUCCUAAACCCUUCCGAGCUUUUGCUUUUGUUACAUUUGCAGAUGAUCAGGUUGCCCAAUCUCUUUGUGGAGAGGACUUGAUCAUUAAAGGAAUCAGCGUACAUAUAUCCAAUGCUGAACCUAAGCACAAUAGCAAUAGACAGUUAGAGAGAGGUGGAAGAUUUGGUGGUAAUCCAGGAGGCUUUGGGAACCAGGGGGGGUUUGGCAACAGCAGGGGAGGCGGGGGAGGGCUGGGUAACAACCAGGGCAGUAACAUGGGAGGGGGAAUGAACUUCGGAGCCUUUAGCAUCAACCCUGCCAUGAUGGCAGCAGCACAGGCAGCCCUGCAGAGCAGCUGGGGAAUGAUGGGCAUGCUGGCCAGCCAGCAGAACCAGUCAGGGCCAUCGGGAAACAACCAGCCUCAAGGCAACAUGCAGCGGGAGCAGAACCAGGGGUUUAGUUCAGGAAAUAACUCUUACGGUGGUUCCAACUCGGGAGCAGCAAUAGGCUGGGGCUCAGCCUCGAACGCGGGCUCCAGCAGUGGGUUUAACGGAGGCUUUGGUUCAAGCAUGGAUUCCAAAUCGUCAGGCUGGGGAAUGUAGACGCAGUGGGCUCUGAUACUGACUCUAUGGUGGGAAGUCAAAUUUUUCUAACUCAUGUUCAUCUCAUUUCAAAUGUGUAUGGAAGAAGCACUUCAUUGAAAGCAGUGCUGUAAAUAUUCUGCCUUAGGAAUACUUCUGUCUACAUGCUUUCUCAUCCAAGAAUACUUCAUCACACUGCACAUGCUGCGUCUUAGACGGUGGGUGUUCCAUUUUUAUCCGCUACUCUUUAUUUCAUGGAGUCGUAUCAACGCUAUGAACGCAAGGCUGUGAGAUGGAACCAGAAGGCUGUUUGAACUUUUGAAACCUUGUGUGGGAUUGAUGGUGGUGCCGAGGCAUGAGAGGGCUGGUAUGUGCGAGAUAAAGGAGAGAGCGCAUGCAGAGACCUGGUGGUGCAUUAUGGGAUUUUAUUUUACUUGGCGAGAUGUCUCUCAAUCCUGUGGCUUUGGUGAGAGAGUGUGCAGAGAGCAAUGAUAGCAAAUAAAGUACGAGUGUUUAUUGCAUUCAAAGGACAUCCAUAUGUGGAAGACUUUAAGUGGGUUUUAUACCUAGUUAAUCAAUUAGUUGAAUGUGUUUAUGUGAAACGAAUAUUUGUAUUUUUUUUCCUUAUGUCAACUGCUGUGAAUGCUGUAUGGUGUGUGUUUUUUUUUCUGUUAAUGAUUUGUAAGUGUGGUAACGUGAAUUGAAGAUGAUGGGGUUUGCGAUGAGAACAUUGAGCUUGUGGUGUGCUUUGCAGUAGCUCAUGCAGCAGAGAUCACUAGCGAGCUCAGUGUGCCUCUUCAGGGUGGAAGCUCCACUGUGUAAGAUAUCCAUAAGAAUGCUGUUUGCUGCAGUUUCGUGUUUGGAUGCUUUUUAUAAGAUUUGUCACUGUAGGAAAUUCUUAAAUAAAACUGAUUUAAGUAAUAUGUGUCUUUGUUUUGCAGCCCUGAAUGCAAAGAAUUCAUAGCGGUUAAUUAUUUUUACCCUUUUGAGAUGAACUUCUGUAAAGUUUUUUUUUUUGCAGUAAUUCGGUUUGUUUCAGAUAAGCAUACUCUAAAAGUUGACAAGUCAAACGGAGCCACCACUCAUCAUGUAUCGAUACCUGACACCCAACCUUAACCCAUUGUAUUUUUGCAUUGUUCAGUGAUGUGUAUAUAUCUAAAAUCCAGUUCCCACAAGUUUGGGUGUCUGCACCUAGAAUGGUAAGCAGUUCCCUCCAGAUUGCAUCUAUACCAAGGAAAGUUACUUAUUUUUUCAGGAGUUGGAGUUGGGGGGGAGUUUCAUCAGAAGGGUGACUGGCGGGGGGGGGGAACAAACACUGUCAGCUGUAUUUCUGUCCGUGGCAUCUCCUUAGGGGAUGUAGGCUUCUAACCUGUAUUUUUAAACCAGCCCAAUUGAUGGAAAGUAGGGUUCUGCAACACUUCUAGCUCAGAAGAAAGCUCUAAAUUCAUUUUUAAAACUAGGCACAGAAGAGACUUUCCAGCUGAAUAAAGCAUUAGUUGAAUGUAUGUGGAUUUUGUCAGAAGUCUUAUCUGGAAAACAAUGUUUACUACAAGUGCAAAAGCGCAAGCACAAGGAGCAGCUUCUUAACAAAAAGCAGGAUGUUUCAGGGGAAGUUGUUGGAAAAUUAUUUCCACGGGCGGUAGGAGCUUGAGGAAUUGUUUAACCUACCUGCACUUGAAGCCCAUUGAAGCUUGAUCCAUAUUCUUAUACACUGUACUACUGCGCUGUAGCUAUGCAAGGUCCGAGUAUGGAUUUACUCGGGUUUUUAACCUCUAACUUUUCAACUUAUAUCACAAUUACUGAAUAUUAUACUGAGGUUUGUGAAUAGAAGACCAGCUAAACAGUUGAUAAAACUGCACUACUGUUAGUUUUCCACUUGAACUGCAGUAUUAAAUCAUCUAGGUUUCAAUGUACAUUUUAAAGGGGGGUUGGCAAACACUCAGGCUGAAAAUUAGUCCCGGGCUUGUUGUUCAUAUCCCACUGCAAAAAGUUGCUUAGAUAUUUUUUUUCCUGCACCUAAGUCAGAAUAAUCUCCAAACUCUGUACCAUUGUGAAUUUUGCAUUUUAGCACUUGCACUAUUACCAGCUACUUCUGCUGAGUAACACUUAAAAAUGGUAUUCUUGGACCUCCAAAGACUAACUGUGACAGCUCUGCAAGGAACUGUAUGGUAAGUUUUUGUGAUUAGCAUGGCUUUAAUUUUGUUUAAUUUGUUUAAGUCCAGGUCUAGGUUUUAGCAGGCGGGUUGGCAGCAUUGAGUCUUUGCUAUUAAUUUUAGCCUUCCCUGACCCUCAAACAAAACAAAGUUUUAGAAGAAUUUUCAAGUUUUAGUAAUAUUUUCUAACUGCUUUGCAUACUCAAGUAUUUAUAAGUGAGUAAAUAAAAUGCUACUGCUAU